GAUGAACGCUGGCGGCGUGCCUAAUACAUGCAAGUCGAGCGAACAGAUGAGGAGCUUGCUCCUCUGACGUUAGCGGCGGACGGGUGAGUAACACGUGGAUAACCUACCUAUAAGACUGGGAUAACUUCGGGAAACCGGAGCUAAUACCGGAUAAUAUAUUGAACCGCAUGGUUCAAUAGUGAAAGACGGUUUUGCUGUCACUUAUAGAUGGAUCCGCGCCGCAUUAGCUAGUUGGUAAGGUAACGGCGUACCAAGGCAACGAUGCGUAGCCGACCUGAGAGGGUGAUCGGCCACACUGGAACUGAGACACGGUCCAGACUCCUACGGGAGGCAGCAGUAGGGAAUCUUCCGCAAUGGGCGAACGCCUGACGGAGCAACGCCGCGUGAGUGAUGACGGUCUUCGGAUCGUAAAACUCUGUUAUUAGGGAAGAACAAAUGUGUAAGUAACUAUGCACGUCUUGACGGUACCUAAUCAGAAAGCCACGGCUAACUACGUG
This 497-nucleotide ribosomal RNA is filed under the name uncultured bacterium. RNAcentral's name for it is "partial 16S ribosomal RNA". It matches the Rfam family "Bacterial small subunit ribosomal RNA", at positions 28 to 507 of the family's 1533-position model. The record is from RNAcentral.